Pygocentrus nattereri (red-bellied piranha) is the source of this 984-nucleotide long non-coding RNA. The record is from Ensembl. NCBI's taxonomy places the organism in Eukaryota, Metazoa, Chordata, Actinopteri, Characiformes, Serrasalmidae.
GAAUGCAGUGAACACACACAGCAGUACUCUUUCGCUCCUAGAUGUAGCAUUUUUAUAUCUAAUUUUCUCUUUCUCUCUCUGCCUCUGUGUGCAGAUUCCUCAUGUAGAUUUAUAGGUGGUGAAGGGACAGGUGUUGCUGGUAUCCAACCGUUUGUACAACAGUGUGGUUCUGAUGGGAAACACUAUGAAGUGCCCCCCAACCUCCAGACGGCCAGCAAAGAGCUGGAGGUUGAGGAACUUUGGGUGUUGUGUGCUGCCCUGCCUGAAGUGCCCUGCUGUGCUGUAGCCUUAAGCUCUCCCUCAUGCUCCUUCAUUCUCUGCCAAACAAGUAAACUCUCUCUUUCUCAUCUCAUCUGUAAAGCCAGGCAUUUCAAAGUUGCAUGUAAUUAUCUGACCUCCCAGAUGAGCGUAUUCAUUUGCGUGACCUGUAAUUGACCUUUGACCAUUAGACCUCACUCUAUUCCUUCACAGACCAGAGCUUGCCGAUGUCCCUGAGCGAGUCAUGUCAGCCUCUUCUGUAUCCCCCUGAUGGAGGCUGAAGGAGUCCUGGCCUUCCCACUGCUGCCUUUUUCUGCCACAGUAGACCUGAGCAGCCUAAACCCCAAGCUGCUAAAGGAGGGGCAGCAUGUGGUCAUCGUUGGAGAGGUCCUGAUACUACACAUCAGUGAGAUACUGGAAGAGGUGAAAUGACAAAGGAUCAGUUUGUAGAAGAAUGUCAUUGGCCAGGCAACGAAAACAUUUAAAGUUUAACAUCCUUUGUUUAGCAAAUAUAAUCAGAAGUUAAGCUCCCUGACACAAGACACUACCAUGAAGUACACUGUUUGACUGCUAGGACCCCAUCUCCUUAAAACAUUGCCUAGACUCCAUAGUCUAUAACACCUUAAAUUGAUCAUACAUCACCAUUACAUAGCACUGAAUGAUUAAUCACUUUUAUAUUGGGAUCUCACUUUGAAAGACUGAAGCUAUCACAUCGCAAGAGCUGCC